Molecule: ribosomal RNA, 405 nt
Filed under: uncultured bacterium
Lineage: Bacteria
Description: bacterial SSU rRNA
Rfam family: Bacterial small subunit ribosomal RNA
Source: RNAcentral
UGGGGAAUAUUGCACAAUGGGGGAAACCCUGAUGCAGCAACGCCGCGUGAAGGAUGAAGGUUUUCGGAUUGUAAACUUCUUUAGUCGGGGACGAAGAAAUGACGGUACCCGAAGAAUAAGCCACGGCUAACUACGUGCCAGCAGCCGCGGUAAUACGUAGGUGGCGAGCGUUGUCCGGAAUUACUGGGUGUAAAGGGCGUGUAGACGGGUAGGCAAGUCAGAUGUGAAAUUCCAGGGCGCAACCCUGGCGCUGCAUCUGAAACUGUUUAUCUUGAGUGCUGGAGAGGAAAGCGGAAUUCCUAGUGUAGCGGUGAAAUGCGUAGAUAUUAGGAGGAACACCAGUGGCGAAGGCGGCUUUCUGGACAGUAACUGACGUUGAGGCGCGAAAGCGUGGGGAGCAAACAG